CGCACCAUGUAAGACCUAUAAGACCUAUUAAACGAGAUGCAUUCUUGAUCCAUGGUUCUUUUCCAUUUGCAAAGGGAAAAAUUCAAAACUUCUUGUUUAGGUAAAAAGAUUCAAUCCAUCCCACCAUACUAUUUGGUGGUCAGUUGUUUGGACCUUUCUAUCUUUCAAAAAAAAAAAAAAAGAUACUCUGUUUUGUGUAAACAUAAACAUAACAUAUAUACUACUAAAAUUAAUUUGCCAUGUCGCAACAGCAGCAGAAUUGCACCUUCGUUUCUAGCGAUAGGUUGGAUAAAAUAGCUAAUAGGAUAGGGACAAGCUUGGCCUCGGCCUUCUUUGCAUCCCUCGAACGUUGUUCCUGCAUCACCAUUAGUACCUCCCAUGACGAAAAUGAUGACAAAGAAGAAGACAAAAAUCGCCCUCUUUUGUUCAUCAAACAAGCAUCUUUCACCAUAUCUAAAUUUCCUUCUUGAUUUAAUUUAUUAAGAUGUGUAGACAUCUAUGCACAUACGAAAAGGCUGCUCGGAAGAUAUAUGGUUGUAGAUUCGGAAAAGGUUCAAAUUUGAUUCUUAUGAUGAAAUUGCUCGAUUUUGUCCUUCGUGAUACUUUUGGUCCACCCAUCCAAAAUUUUUGACAGGAAAAAAUCAUAGUUUAUCCAUAAUUUCUGGCAAUGCAUAAACAAAUUUAACCCUUUACCUUGUAGAUUUGAAGAGAUGGAAAAGAUAUCUUUUUGUUCUCAUUUUCGUUCGCAUAUGUAACUGAGGAUGUGUAAAUGUCAACAUGGUUAUGUAGAUUGGCCCUGAUUUUUUUACAAUGGCAAUGGAAAUAAACCAAACGAUCAUUUGUCGAAAUAGAAAAGAUAAAUGAUCAUGAUUUUGUAGUGUUAAUUUUCAGGGGGUGGGGUCAUUUGACUAAAACAAUUUAUGUACUCAACUAAUAAUCAUUAUCUCAUAUUG
RNAcentral lists this long non-coding RNA (953 nucleotides) under Capsicum annuum. RNAcentral describes it as "long non-coding RNA (CANN_LNC000998)". The record is from RNAcentral. Lineage: Eukaryota; Viridiplantae; Streptophyta; Magnoliopsida; Solanales; Solanaceae.